RNAcentral lists this ribosomal RNA (605 nucleotides) under uncultured bacterium. RNAcentral's name for it is "bacterial SSU rRNA". The stretch from base 1 to 521 matches the Rfam family "Bacterial small subunit ribosomal RNA", at positions 338 to 873 of the family's 1533-position model. The record is from RNAcentral.
CCUACGGGAGGCAGCAGUGGGGAAUCUUGCGCAAUGGGCGAAAGCCUGACGCAGCAACGCCGCGUGCGGGAAGAAGGCUCUCGGGUUGUAAACCGCUUUCAGCAGGAACGAAAAUGACGGUACUUGCAGAAGAAGGUGCGGCCAACUACGUGCCAGCAGCCGCGGUGACACGUAGGCACCAAGCGUUGUCCGGAUUUAUUGGGCGUAAAGAGCUCGUAGGCGGUUCGGUAAGUCAGGUGUGAAAACUUUGGGCUCAACCCAAAGCCUGCAUCUGAUACUGCUGUGACUAGAGUUCGGUAGGGGAGCGGGGAAUUCCUAGUGUAGCGGUGAAAUGCGCAGAUAUUAGGAGGAACACCGGUGGCGAAGGCGCCGCUCUGGGCCGAAACUGACGCUGAGGAGCGAAAGCGUGGGUAGCAAACAGGAUUAGAUACCCUGGUAGUCCACGCCGUAAACGUUGGGCACUAGGUGUGGGUUUCAACCAACGAAAUCCGCGCCGUCGCUAACGCAUUAAGUGCCCCGCCUGGGGAGGUACGGCCGCGAGUAAACGUACAAGUAGAGUAGACGGCGUGUAGACGUUGCGACGGACGACGACGAGGGAGGUUAGG